AAACUAGGUAUUUCUGUCUAUAUCUCAUAUAAUUGUCAUAUCUUAAGCACCAAGUGGUGGCUUAGAUGGUUAGGGCAUGCAAAAGACGUUUCAGUUUUGCCCAUGAUUGAAACCCAACCAUUGGCGUUUCAUUGAAAAAUGAAAAUUCCUCCACAAAGACUUGAAUGGGCCGGGCCUAGCUUGGUCCAAUUUACAUGAUCAUGUUGGGUUUGGGCCUUAUCUCAUCCUGAUAACUAAUUGAGCUUGGCUUGAUUAAGUGUUGGGUCAGGCCUUUGUUGAGGUCAACCCAGCUUGAGCCCAACCCUACUAGCUGCCAAUUUCCAAAGUACCCAGAGUUUCCCAUCUUCCAUACUUGUUUAUGAGUUGUCUAUGUCUUUGAUACUCAUCUUACUUCCAAUGGGCAGAAAUAGUGCUGAAGAGGGGCAAUCAUAGACACUAAAAUUUUGAUGGGAAACGAAUAUAUGGGUUCCCAUAUACAUAAUUUUUUUUGUCUUGGUAUAGACAACCGUUUGGUAUGAUGGGAGAGUUAAGAGCGAGGCAAUAACAAUUUCAUGGACUAGCUCCAACUGUUUUUGUUAAGCUGCAAUUAAUGUGUGACAUUGUUGUCGGCUCACUACUAGUUAUUCGAUGUAUAUGGGGACUAACAUCCUUCCUAUCUUAAUUAGACAACUUGGCAGUGAGCUGACAAUAAUGUCACACAUUAAUUAUGGCCUAACAAGAACAAUUGGUGCUAGUCUUUGACAUUGUCGUCUGAUUACCAUGGACAUGCAUAUGGGACCCCAUAAAAAGCUCGCCCAAUAUUGAUUAAGUAGAAGAGACGUCAAAACCUAUCCAUAGCAUCCAAAUCUACAGAAAUAAGCUACCAUAGGUACCCUAGUUCCAAAACAAGUCUCCCAUGCCAACCUAUGCGCUUGAUAACCUAUAAGCCAACACCUCUAGGUUUAGAAUUCAAUCGUUUCAAAACUCAUCCAAACUUGUGUGUACCCUACGCCACCUUGCAGGGAAUUCAAUGAGCUUUUCAACUGUCCAAAAGGCACUCAUAUGGCUGUUUUACUAAACCAAUUUGUAAAAGACACAAGAGUCCUUGGUCAUGGCUACUUCGCCGUGUUGGUGGGGCAAAUACCAGUGCAGUUCUGACUACAUGUACCUUAGAGGAAUUUUGACUCCAUAUCAUGCUAGCUUUUCUCCUGAAGACUUUAGAAGAUUCCAGGAUGGGCCCUUUUGCUCUAUGGUUCAUUUUGAGUCUAGACACCCGAGCAACUACAAAACCUUACCCUAUUAUUCAAAUUUGUGAUUCUAUGGAACCCUAACCGUAAUGCUCUAAAAACACAAGGGGCCUCUGCAUCCUAUAUGCAAAACUCUUGUUUUCUUCAACAAAAAUAUCAAAACAUCAAAACGACUUUGACUGAUCAAGGUUGUAGUCUCUAUUGUUACAACCUUGAUCAGACAAAGAACCUAAACAAAUUUCUAUUUGCUCUAAUAUAGCUUCCAUGACUUUGAGGUCUAGGCCCACAGUGGCCCAUGUUCAUUUCUGCCAUUUUCUUGUUUAUUCUUGCGGUUUAUGGUUGAAUUAGCUUUAUCUUGUGUAGAUCUAGCAGUACCUUACCAUUUCUUUUAUUUUUAAAACCUUUCCUUUAAUGUGUCUAAGACCUAGAGCAGCAAAACAUAUCUAUUCGAGUUUGGAGUAGAAUGAUAAAUCCAGUAAAAUGAUAGAUCAACUCGUAGGUGACAACUCCAAAGGGACGGGAUAUAUUUUGGCAUUGUUCCAAAUUGACCCUCAUUCUUGAAACACCCUAUUUAGGGACUGAGUAUCUUUUAUAUCCUUCAGUCAAGUUCUAUAUUGGUUUGAGUCAAGAAACCUUAUGGUUCUCUUGCCCAGAUUUGCGUGUAACACAUGUAUAGGCUAAUUUCUUGUUGGUUUUUUAGUACAUAGAGGCAGUUGUGGGUCAGAUGAUUUGUGCACAUAAUGAAUGCCUAAGCUUUGUGCAAAUACCCUGUGGUUGUUGAAAGUGCAAUGGCAAGUUAGGGGCCUAAAUAUAAUAUGUUAUCUAAUAAGGAUAUUUGUGAGUUGUUAUUUAAAUAAGGGUAUAUAUGACCUUUAAUUUUACUUAACAUUGAAAAGGUUUCAAAUGCUAUGAUCCUGUUAAUAAAGUUCGCCAUGUCUUUAUGGAUGUUACCUUCUUUGAAUGCAUUUCAUAUUUCUUCUAUGUUGGAAAACAAUGCUUUCUUCAGGGUGAGAACAAUAGAUAGGAAGCAAGCAAUCCAAACGCCAUUGCCCAAAAUGAAGAUGGAAAUGCAUUGGUUGCACCCAAGGAAAAGGAGUUCAAGAUGUAUAUUGGGUGAUAGCUCAUCAGGCAUUAAAGAUUUAAAAUGCUAUCUGAGUAAGGUGUUUGAAAAAAGAUUUUGUUCCAGUUCCCCUCAGAUACUUUUUGGGUAUUGAAGUGGCAAUUUCUCAGAGGAAAUAUGCGUUGGUAGAUGCUCCUAUGGAAAUCAAUCAUAGACUCCAUGCCCCGAUGGGAGAGUUGGUAAAGGAUCCUAGUCAAUAUUAGAGGUUUUUGGGCAAACUUAUGUAUCUUAAAACUGCAAAACUAGAUAUAUCGUAUGCAGUUAGUGUAGUUAGUCAAUUCAUGCUUGCCCCAUGAACCUUACUUAGAUGUUUCCUAUCUCAUCCUUAAGUAUCUGAAGUCAUCUCUAGGGAAGGGUUUGUUGUUCACUUAUCAUGGCCAUUGAAAACUUCAGAAAUGUAGAGAGAGAAAGAAACAGAGCAAGAGAGAGAGAGAGAGAGAGAGAGAGAGAGAGAGAGAGAGAGACGUUAAGAGAGAGAGGGAUGUUUAGAUAGAAGGGGAAAUAGGUGCCAUUUCAUGUUUUGUUUGGGUAAAAAAUGUGUGGUCAAAGGGGCGUAUUUGGGUCCAGGGGAUUAGAAGAUACAAAAGAUUGAAACUUUAUGUUACAAGGAAGGUUUUGAAAUCUUGGGUCUCUUGAAAAAUGAUUUUUCAAAACAGGGUGUACGGAGAAGUUUACCCUUAUUGAUUAUAUUCUGUUGGAAUUGUGAUCCCGUAGUCCUUCAUUGUAAAAUAUUUAAAUGGGUUGCAAUGCCUUAGAUACUCUUGGGAACAUCACUACUACUGGUGGAUGAAGCCAUGUACGUAAUUUUAGUCAUUUAAGCUAUUGUAGGUCUUUUCAUGAGAACAGUCUUUAUUCAUACUGAUACACUAACAUAAUGCCCUUUAAAAUAGAUUGCAUUGUCAGUGGUUCCGAAAACUAUUUAUCCAAUCACCUAGCAAGACAGACUCUUAUUCUGCCUAAUAGGCUGUUUAUAUUUUUAUUGUUGAUACUUGAUAGAACCAUUUUUUAUAUUGUUUUCCUGGUUUACUCUUACUGGCAUUGUUAUUUCCCUUUAAUUGCAGAUUUUCGUAUGGGGUUUAUUAAUAUUCACCAUAUAUAGUGAAGGCCCUUAUCCUUCACCAUAAAGAAUAAACAUUUAUUUCCCAUACAUUUGUAAUUAUGUCUUAGUAGGGGUAUUUUGGUAAUUAGGAAGGGUUAAUUGAAAAAUGCUAAAUUCAAUGGCAAUAUGUUUUGGAUUUGGCACUAAAUCCUGAAACCCGUCCAUAAUUAAUACUUUUUUUAAUUUUUUGCUCGAUUAAAUGAUCAAAAUAACGUUAUACCUCAACCAUUUUUAUUAAAAAUUAGGGUAAUUUAGGUUAUAAUAUUAUGGUGAAGUCUUCACCAUGAAUGGUUAUUUUGUUUGAUAGGAUUUGAUUAACCUUUAGUCUACAGGGUGAAGGCUCCUAUCAUUCACAAUAAUAUUAUGGAAAAUAUUACCUUUCUUUAUUAUUAAAAUUAAUGUGGUGCAAUGGUAUUUUGUUAUUUAAUAUAACAAAAAUUUCAGAAUAGUAUUAUUAUGCAACGGUUUCCAGAUUUAGUGCCGCAUUAAUUAUACAUUAAGUGUUGGGUAACAAUUCAAUAGAGACGACCACAUUUAAAUGUUAUUAAGAACCCUUUUUUAUAUGGAAAAAGUUUAUAUAAGGUGUAAGUAGAAAUAAUGUGCACCUCAAAAAUCUAUGUUGUUCGGAUGUUGAAAAAGUUCAUAUAAGUAUUGUAGAAAUAAUGUGCACCUCAAAACUCUAUGUUGUUUCGAUGUUAAAAAACCUUACAAUUGAUCAUUUGAACUUCGAGAUAUAUGUAUAUGAAAAAAGAAACAAGGAUUUUAAAUCAUAUAAAUAUUGCAUCUUGUAACAUAUUAUCUAGGCAGUCAAUUUUCAAAAAAUUUGAGUGUCUAUAGGUCUGCUCGUUUUGCAUAAUUUUUAGAGCUUUAAAUUUCAUAAUUAGGUGUGAAGACCACUGUUUAAGUGUUUCGGCACCCGAACUACAUCUAGCAAGAUUUAGGUGGGUGCCUUACUUUGAUCGUUUAAGGUUGACACCUUAUACAAACUUCACCCUUUCUAUAUUGCUGGUUGGUAAUUUAUUUGUUUCAUCAUUGAGUAUAAUGUUUGUGAAUGUAGUGAUUAUCUAUUGCUCUUUGAAGGCUUGAAGUUACUUGGGUUCUUAUUUAACCCCCUCCAAAGAAAAAGUGACUUGGUUUCUGCAAUUUUUCUGUUUUUCAGGUGUGAAACGUUUCAUGUCAACUUCCAAAAUGUCAAGCUCCAAAAGGGGAUGUUCCAAUUUAGUCGAUUCCUGCAUGUAUCAAAGCCGAAAUUUUGAUAAAAAUGACGAAAAAAAUGACAGGAAAUCAGCAAGAUUUAUUUUUGCUGAUGUUUUCAGUGGCACCCAAUUGCGUGUAACUGAAAUGACAGGAAAUCAGCAAGAUUUCAUUUUGCUGAUGCUUUCAGUAGCACCCAAUUGCCUGUAACUGCAUUACUGCUCCCAUAUUGUUUUCAUUUUCUAUGAAUGGAAAGAUAAUUUUAGGUUGCGGACAUGGAUUUUUCUUUUCUCUGAUUUUUGUUGGUGGCUAUUCUCUUGUUCUUGGAAGAUCAUGUGAAACCAUAUUACUGUGUUCACCCCCUUUCUCAUUUUGCAAGGUUAUGCUAUAGGAUAUUACUAAUGAAGUAGUGCCUUUGUCUUUCUUAAUUGAAAAAGUACGUGGUAAGACUUUUUAUUUU
Non-coding RNA from Amborella trichopoda, 5099 nucleotides. The record is from RefSeq and is a predicted model, not a curated record. NCBI's taxonomy places the organism in Eukaryota, Viridiplantae, Streptophyta, Magnoliopsida, Amborellales, Amborellaceae.